GCUUGAUGUUCUCACCUGAAUUUGUAGUCAAAGAAAUGUUGAUCCCCCUUUUUUUAUUAUUUAGAUAAUUUUCUACAUGCAUUUUCUAUGCACAUGCCAAAUUUCAACAAAAAAUAAAGCUCCGCAGAUAGUUUAAUUAGUGUAGAACUUUUGGUACCUAAUUUUGGCUUUUCUGUUGUUUGUUUGUUGUUGUUUUUUUCGUUAAGCGAAAUACGGGGGCGGAUAGGGGGGCCGACUCUACAGAAAAAUAAUAAAAAUUCUAAUAUUGUAUUAUUUUGAUUUUUAUUAUUAGAUUAAAAUAAAAAAUGAACUCUGCAGACAGAACUUUACUUGACUCUCUAACAGUUCGAUCUACCCAGCCUAUCACUGCAACAUCUUCAUCUACAAUGAAUGCUCUAGUUCCAUCCUCAACUGCAUUGGGUGUUACAUCUUCAGCUGCUACAAGUGGAUUUAUGGGUCCAAAAAAAAGUGGAGUUAUGUUUUCGGAUGCACUGAAAAAAGUGUAAUGUGGUUGGAGAAGACUGGGGGGUUGGGGAGAGGGCGUUGUGCGGUGCACACAUCCCAGCCAUAAAGUCAAUAUAUACAACACUUUUAAAUGCUGUAAAGUAAGAAAAUAAAAUUUAAACUUUUUAACACAUUAUAUAAUCAGUGUUUUUUGGGUUAAAGUAUUUAAAAGAAUGGAACAUUACACUACGAGGGUGUUAAAACGUAACAAAGACAUCGACCCUUUAUUCUAAAAUAGACCACUAAUAUUUGGAAAUGGAAUGGAAGCAAAUUGGAACAACUUUUUGUGUAUAAAGGUGACAUAUUUUAUCAGAAAAACACUCUUUCGUGUAAAAAACUUGUAUUUUUUUUAAGGUUACGAGGGUGUUCCAUACCCCCUCCGGCCCUCUAGACACCCUUUUAUCUAUAGAGUUAUAUAAACUUGUAGCCUACUCUUACAUCUAUCUUUUGAUACCAAGGUAUAGACAUUUAUAUAAGAUUUGACAAAGUUAUAACAAUUUCAGUGAAAAAAAAAAAAAUUUUGGAACCAGUUU
Non-coding RNA from Hydra vulgaris (swiftwater hydra), 1037 nucleotides. NCBI's taxonomy places the organism in Eukaryota, Metazoa, Cnidaria, Hydrozoa, Anthoathecata, Hydridae. The record is from RefSeq and is a predicted model, not a curated record.